AGGGCUAUAGCUCAGUUGGUAGAGCACCUCGUUUACACAAUCAGUUUGAUCUGUUUUACCGAGAAGGUCUACGGUUCGAGUCCGUAUAGCCCUA
RNAcentral lists this transfer RNA (94 nucleotides) under Musa ABB Group. RNAcentral describes it as "trnC-ACA". It matches the Rfam family "tRNA". Rfam says of the family: Transfer RNA (tRNA) molecules are approximately 80 nucleotides in length. The record is from RNAcentral. RNAcentral also lists the same sequence under 1 other name. Lineage: Eukaryota; Viridiplantae; Streptophyta; Magnoliopsida; Zingiberales; Musaceae.